Phyllostomus hastatus (greater spear-nosed bat) is the source of this 359-nucleotide long non-coding RNA. RefSeq lists it as uncharacterized. The transcript is spliced from 3 exons. NCBI's taxonomy places the organism in Eukaryota, Metazoa, Chordata, Mammalia, Chiroptera, Phyllostomidae. The record is from RefSeq and is a predicted model, not a curated record.
GGAAACAUUUUGCCGAUGUGGAAGAGGUGAAACAAAAAACAGCAGAAGCACUAAAAGGCAUCAAAAUCAAUGAGUCCAAAAACAGUUAUGAGCGGUGGAAAAGUCUCGAUAGAUGUAUUCCAUCAAAUGGAGAGUACUUUGAAGGUGACUAAAGUUUAAACACGGUUUUGAAUGGACAAAGAACUUGGAAAAAAGAAGAAAGGUAACUAGCUCAUAAAUUUCCUCAAAAUUAGGCAAUUUUGCGCUAUUUUCAGCUGGCAGACUUUGAGUUCUUUUCUAAUGCUUCCAGAAUCAUUAAAAGAUGAGUUAACAAGAAAAAACACAAUCUCAAAAGUCAAAGGGAUAACAACAACAACAAC